Long non-coding RNA from Astyanax mexicanus (Mexican tetra), 288 nucleotides. RefSeq lists it as uncharacterized. The transcript has 3 exons. NCBI's taxonomy places the organism in Eukaryota, Metazoa, Chordata, Actinopteri, Characiformes, Acestrorhamphidae. The record is from RefSeq and is a predicted model, not a curated record.
CAACAGCACUGGAAUCCGAGACUUCCUUCUGCACUGUAAGCCUGGGACUUAUUCUGAAAUCUGCUCUUUUGGAAAGAGGGAACGGACUCUUUCCUAUCGGAGCUAAGAUGUGGUGGCACUGAUCUGCUUUCUCCAUCACUCCAAAAUGACAGUAGUGGCUGAUUGGCCAGGUGACUGGUGAAGUCCUGAAGGGUGGCAAACUCAUUGAAGCCAAAAGAAUACCUGCCAAACUGCCGGCGCACAUGGAAGUGCUUCACUGAGUCCUUUGCCCUGGAGGAGAUAUCCAAG